RNA transcript from Brachypodium distachyon (stiff brome), 2110 nucleotides. It is a transcript of the gene named cell division cycle 20.2, cofactor of APC complex, with no coding region annotated. The transcript has 6 exons. The record is from RefSeq and is a predicted model, not a curated record. NCBI's taxonomy places the organism in Eukaryota, Viridiplantae, Streptophyta, Magnoliopsida, Poales, Poaceae.
AAAUCUGUCGGACGUUUUCCAACAUUGAACACCCCAAAUCCUCCGAAUCCUCUCGGCGCAAUCCUCCGUGUCUUGUAACUAGUCCAAGGAAAGAAAAAAGAUCCUCCUUGCUCAGCGAAUUCGCAAUCCACAUCGAUCGCCUCCGAAUUCCAGCAGGCCCGGACCUCUCAACAUCUCCUUCCGUUGAUUCUUGCAUUUCUCGCUGUGGUUGUCUGAUCUUUCGGGGGAUUUCUCAUUAGGUUUUUUUGGUCCCUCGCCCAUGGAGGCGGCGGGCUCCGGUUCGGCGGCCUCGACGCCGAAACGCCGCCGGCUCGAGCUGCGGCCGCUGGUGCCACUGGAGGUGGCCGGCGCGAGGAGACCGUACAUGCCGUCCCUCUGCUCCAACUCAAACAACCCGUCUGCGAAAUACUACGGUGACAGAUUCAUACCAGAUAGGUCAGCAAUGGACAUGGACAUGGCAUAUUACCUCCUCACUGAACCUAAGAAGGACCAAGAAAAUGAAGUCAAGGUAUCACCAGCUAAAGAAGCAUACAGGAGGCUUCUUGCUGAGAAAAUCCUGAGCAGCAGAACCAGGAUUCUCGCUUUCAGGAACAAACCACCAGAACAUGAAGGGAUGCUGCCACAGAUUUUAGUUGAGACUCUGACUUCCAAUCAGACCAAGCCUGCUAAACAGCGCAGAAAGAUUCCCCAGUUUGCUGAGAGGACCUUAGAUGCCCCUGGAGUGGUUGAUGAUUACUAUCUUAACCUGUUGGACUGGGGAAGCAAAAAUGUGUUGUCCAUUGCACUCGAGAAUACCUUGUACUUGUGGAAUUCAGCUGAUAGUUCUACUUCUGAACUUGUGACUAUUGACAAUGAUCAUGGUCCCAUAACUAGCGUUAGCUGGGCUUGUGACGGGCAGCACAUUGCCGUUGGCCUUAACUCUUCUGACAUCCAGCUCUGGGACACGAGCUCUAAUCGCUUGAUGAGAAAACUCCAAGGCGUCCAUCAAUCAAGGGUUGCUUCACUGGCUUGGAACAAUAGCAUCCUGACAACUGGUGGAAUGGAUGGCAAGAUCGUGAACAACGAUGUCAGGAUGAGAUCCCAUAUUGUUCAGACAUACCGGGGGCAUGCGGCAGAGGUAUGCGGCCUGAGAUGGUCAGGAUCUUGUCAGCAAUUGGCAAGUGGCGGCAACGAUAACCUGGUGCACAUAUGGGAUGCAUCAAUGGCAUCUUCUAAUCCAUCGCUGGGUUAUAGUCGGUGGCUUCAUAGGUUUAGUGACCACUUGGCUGCAGUGAAAGCUCUUGCCUGGUGCCCAUUCCAGAGCAAUUUACUUGCAUCUGGUGGUGGUGGAAACGAUCGAUGCAUCAAAUUCUGGAACACACACACCGGUCUAUGUCUGAAUUCUGUUGAUACUGGGGGCCAGGUAUGUGCACUACUCUGGAAUAAGAAUGAAAAGGAGCUGUUAAGUGCUUGUGGAUUUGUGCAAAAUCCACUUACAUUAUGGAAGUACCCAUCGAUGGUUAAAUUGGCCGAACUCAAUGGCCACACUUCUCGUGUCCUUUGCUUGGCACAGAGCCCUGAUGGAUCCACGGUAGCCUCUGUUGCAGCAGAUGAGACACUGAGGUUCUGGAAUGUAUUUGGAACUCCUCAAGCACUGAAACCUGCAGUCAACAGUGGAAUGUUUAAUAGUUUCAGCCAUAUCAGAUGAAGUGUGUACAAUGAAUUUGACUUGGAUUGUGGGCAGCAAAUUGCCAAAUGCUAUAGAGAAGCUUACAAAAAGAUGUACAUAUAUUCUCUGGAUGACAGUAGUAGGGCCAUGUGGAACUGACUGUCCAUUUGUAGAGUUCUGACGAUCAUGAACCUCUGGAUACAUCUUUCGCCUGCUAGUGCUGCGGUACCUCAGGAUGUGAGCUUCAGAUGUAGAUAAUAUGUAAAGUUUAACUCUUGUCUGGAUGAUGUUUCGUUGUUGUACAACCGAAGUUUGCCAUUCUUCCGUUUCCUUAGUUGAGAAUAUAUAAUACUCCCUCCAUCCUACAGUGGCCGGACACGUGUUUUGAGAUUUGACUUUGACAGCUAAUUGGAUCAAUAACAUGUAGUUUGUGUUACACAAAAAUUAUGUGAUUGUAUUUGU